AGCGAACGCUGGCGGCAGGCCUAACACAUGCAAGUCGAACGAACCUUUCGGGGUUAGUGGCGGACGGGUGAGUAACACGUGGGAACGUGCCUUUAGGUUCGGAAUAACUCAGGGAAACUUGUGCUAAUACCGAAUGUGCCCUUCGGGGGAAAGAUUAAUCGCCUUUAGAGCGGCCCGCGUCUGAUUAGCUAGUUGGUUGAGGUAAUGGCUCACCAAGGCGACGAUCAGUAGCUGGUCUGAGAGGAUGAUCAGCCACAUUGGGACUGAGACACGGCCCAGACUCCUACGGGAGGCAGCAGUGGGGAAUCUUGCGCAAUGGGCGAAAGCCUGACGCAGCCAUGCCGCGUGAAUGAUGAAGGUCUUAGGAUUGUAAAAUUCUUUCACCGGGGACGAUAAUGACGGUACCCGGAGAAGAAGCCCCGGCUAACUUCGUG
Molecule: ribosomal RNA, 434 nt
Filed under: uncultured bacterium
Lineage: Bacteria
Description: partial 16S ribosomal RNA
Rfam family: Bacterial small subunit ribosomal RNA
Source: RNAcentral